UAUUAUAAUAUCUAUUACAAUAAUACUUUAUAAGUAAAGAAUUUUGUUAUGCAUAAUUUAUUAUAUAACACAAAUAAUGUGUUAUACUAAAGUGUAGAAUAAUACAAAAAAAAAGUGUUAUACUAAAGUGUAGUAUAACACAAAUUUAUAAGUAUUGAAAUGUGUUAUAUAAUCGACUAUAAAUAACAUAAUUAAACACUUAUCUAUAUAUUAAAAUAACACAGAAAGUGUGUUAUCGUUGACAGUACAAUAACACAUCUGUAUAACACUGAUAAAGUGUUAUGUAAAGUACCCUGACCUACGAUAACAUAGUCGGUCUUAACACAUCAGAAUGUGUUAUCGUAUGUUUUGAUAACACAUUUUCAGUGUUAUUAAAAUCAUUUUUUCUUGUAGUGUGUUGCCUCUGCCAGGCCCGAACGACCAUCAUCCCAUCGCCGGAGCAGUACAUGUGCCAGCCCAAUCGAACCGUCGGCCCUCGAAAUGUCGACCCCGCGAGCUCACCACCACACGCGCUGCCCAGGGCUGUCGACCAACGGUCCGAAGCCGUCCGCCUCUUGUAUUGCUAUGUGUUUGUUGGCUCUUGUAUUUCCAUUUUUAGUUUGAUUAACUUCCAAUCUACAGAGAGAUGCUUUUGCUAGUACAACUAAGAAGAGGUGUUGGUUUCUUUCUUCUGACAACAUAAAGUCUUUUGUUUGUAUGGAUUUUAGAUGUCCAAGAAGAGCAAUAGGUGAGCAAGAAGCAAGAAACAGUCAUUUUUUAAGAUGGCACUCCAUCAUAAGUGGAAGACGGUCCAAUAUUCUUCAUCUUUCAAAGCUUGCUAUUGAUUGGAAGAGCUAGGUAGUUGACAGAAUGGAACAUUUUGUUUUGGAGCAAGAAAAGCAAUAUCCAUCUGGAGUAAGAUGACAACUUUCAAAUGCACAUGUAUGUUUGCUUUGCUAUGUAGCUUGGUAAAUGUGUGUGUUGCAUUUUUAUAGAUUAUCUCUUGUAUAAUAAUCUUUAUUCUCCUAUAAAUGUUUAGUAUAAUUGUCUAACCACUUUUGUUUAGAAUUCUUUCUCUGAAAUCUGUCUUGUUUUGUCGCUUGAUAUAGAAAAUAGCCUAUCGUGGCAAAAGCUAGAAUUUGUCUUUGGUAAGGACUUUCAACACUAGUUUUUAUGAAAUUGCAGUAUUUUUUUUUUUAGAGAUGUGACACUCAAAGUUCUUUGGGAUUUAAAUGUUGGUUUGAAAUUAUUUCUUCAUAGCAUGUGGACUGUCUAUAGGUUAAUUAGUAUGUGUGAGUAACUAAAUAUCUCUCCAAACUCCAAUACUAAAUCUAGACAUUAUGCAGAUUGACAUC
This is a long non-coding RNA of Humulus lupulus (European hop), 1334 nucleotides long. RefSeq lists it as uncharacterized. The transcript is spliced from 4 exons. NCBI's taxonomy places the organism in Eukaryota, Viridiplantae, Streptophyta, Magnoliopsida, Rosales, Cannabaceae. The record is from RefSeq and is a predicted model, not a curated record.